AUAUUACUAAGAAUUUUAUUUUCAGAUUUUUAAAUCAGAUUGCCUUCACCUUUGCUAUUUAAAUCUUUUGUUGUAUAAAAUAAAGUGAACUCUGUAACAUUGAAUAUUCAGAAAUGGUUUUCAUAUAUGCUUUGAGACUAAGACUGAUAGGCAUUAAAUAACUGCAAUGUAUAGAAUUGUAAAUGGUGAUAUUUACCUACGUAUUUUAUAGAAUAUGUUGUCUUCUUUGUCAUUGAGGCUGUUGAGUGAAAUGAUAUCUUAGUAAUGAAUAGGGAAGUAAUAUAUAAAUAUAAAUAAUUGAGGACAGUCACUAAACCUGAUAUUGACCUAUGUUUAAUCUUUCUGUUGCUACUAUCCAACUCUGACUGAAAGGUUAAUGAGCAGAAUAAUUUACUAUUGCUACUAAGAGUGUAUUUUCAGUUGUUACCUUGCUGUAAUGACUCACAGAAUUAGGUCUCUCUGUUUUAAUUUUUCCCCAGAUAGCACAGUGAUGGACUUCUAUGUGGUGGAAGGUACAGUUCAGCUUAAAUGGCCUUAAAUUUCUUCAUUUUGAAGAUGCUUGGUCUAUCAUUUUCAGAUGGUUAUAUCUAGACCCAAAGUGUAUGUGUCCACUCAGGUGCCCAAGGCGGGAAGUAAACGUCAGUGGCGUGCAGGACGUACUCCGGAGGUGUUGUGAUCUCAGGCGCUUCUCUGAAUAGAAGAUAAGAAGAACUAAAACUGGAAGAUGGAAGGAGAAAUAAAAGCAGCAUGCACAUUGGACAGUCAGAUCUUUAGUAACUGAGAUUUGGCUAAAGACUUAAGAUGGGUUGGCGCAAAGAAAUGUCAUAUUCCAAUCACGACAUGAGAAAUGGUUGGAUUCCCUGUCCUACUAGGAGAUUCUCGACUGACAUUUUAUCGUGUUAUUGUGUUCCACGCUAUUUAGUUCCUCCUGGAUUCUUCCGAAUUUCACAUGCACUGCUGCAAUCAGCUCCUGCAGAGCGGAUAACAUACCUAGGGACCCAGGUCUUCCUGGACAAGCAGCCAGUCAUGAACAGGGGCAGACUUGGCCUUAAAGUUUAAUUCUGAUAUUUUUUUGCAUUUCAAAGUAUAGAUAUUCAUUUUAUCUAUUAAAAAGUAAAACCCAGUAAGUGUACUGUAGGGAAUGUUUAUCUUACAAAGGAAGGGUCAUGUAGAGAUGAGCCCACCUGCUGGUUUUACUUUCCUUUUCCAGUAAUGUUUAUAUUGUAACUUAAACAUUUUUCUGGCUCUAAAAAUUAGGUAUGCCUUUGUUUUCUAGUGCAUAUCUCUGUUAUGUAAACCUGCUUGUAUACAUAUGAAGAAAACCAAUUUGAAACAUUUCUGUUUAUGCACAAAGUAUACCUUAAUGAUGUCUUUGGCAGAGGGUAAGAACCUCACCUUAACAAGGGAAGUAGAAAUGAUGGAUUUGCUUACGGAGCUUUAAAUAAUGUAGCUGUAAAUUGGGAAUUUAGUCUGUAUGUCAGAAAGAUACAGCCAACUCUGCCAUCAGUUUAAAAGAAAAAUAAGAUUUUGGUGAAAUCUUGUCUAAGUGGCUUUAACACUAUUAGAGAAUUUAAAAAACUGUUAAAAUAAAUCAGACUGUUUUAGAAUAGCAACAUAAAGUUGGGGUUACUGUUUCAGAUGUAUAUUCAUGUAAAAAUUAGGUUUCAGUAUUGGCACUUAGGUGACGAAAAUAUGGUAUGUUUGUAUUUUAAUGAAGCACUGGCAGUAUAUAAAACGUUAAUUUUUAAAUCAGUGAGCCAGAAUUUCAUUGUGGAUAUGGAAAAAGAGAUUGUCAUUUUACAAACUGCAAGAAUAAAUAUAUGUGUUUUAAAUACCAAAGUAUUCAGUUUUAAAUUCUUACUUCAUUUUGAAAACAUGUAAGAACUAAAUUAGACUUUUAAUUAGUGGUUAAUAGCAGUGAAUAAAUAAACCUGUCUAAAAAUUAAUGAAUGUAGAAUAAGACUUCUGACACUUUAAAUUUCUGUAUGAGGAAGAUAGUUUGUUAUCAAGGAACAUAGUGUAUUUUGUGUUGAUCAUUGCUGUUUUAAAAAUGUAUGUUCUAUGAUUACAUUGUUUCCCUUACCUCAGGCUGAAUUUGAGUUGAUGUCUUCUUAACAUGAUUGGGUUAGUAACCAGUGGCAUUUAAUUUUUGUAAUGCAAAACUUAAGGCUUUAGGUGUUCCCAAUAAAACUUUUAUAUAAGCCUCUUGAAAUUGUUUUGUUUCGAUUUUAGUUUAAACCCAUUUUUAUCCUGCUUUAUUGCACUCCCUUUCACUAGUAGAGUAGCCACACUCCCUCCUUUUUUUUAAUGCAGUUUAUACAAAAAGUAAUUUUUCUUAUUGUCAUCUAUUUUUUUUUUUUUUUGACAUUUAGAAACCAAAUACCAUAUGCCCUUUUCCUACCUUCGUAUUAAGAAGCAAGAAGACUGUUACAUGAAUAGAUUAAAUUUAGGGCAUUUUCUAUCAUAUAUGCUAUAUUAUUGCACAAUUUCUAUAGUACUUUGUGUUUCUUUCUCCCAAAGAAGAAAAGAAAUUUAGUUAUGUAACAUAAAUUAAAUUUGUAUAAACCCUACUUGGGCAUUUGUGGUAUUGCAAAAGUGAAAUUGUUUCAUCAUGGUUCAAAUAAGAAGUAACAAUAUUUCUUUUGGUGAGAAUAGCUUACGUUUAGAAUCUGCCAGAAAAUUGAGUCUUAAGCUGUUUUUACAAAUAAAGAAUAUAAUGCUGUAUAGAAACCUGAAUUUUAAAAAAUAGGCUCAUUCUAUUUUAGCCAAAUAUCUUAGUUUUUUGUUAGUUUUAAAAACUUUCUAGAAAAGGAUAGAAUAUAAGCAUUAUACUUAAUAAAAAUUCUAAAGCAUGAUUUAAUAGUAUAAAAUGACUUUAGUUAUUUCUUAAUUUAUCAUGAAUACUGGCUAAAUUUUAAAAGUUUAUUUCUGUGUUGUGUAAAAUUUUACAGUAUUGAAAGUUACUUUUUAAAAGAAAUGUUCCAGCAACAUUUAAAAAACUUUUAACAAAGUCUUCUAUGGAUGAAUGGCAAUCAGUAUCAGUUUUAAAAUUCUUUUGCAGUGUAACCAAAGUAAUUUUCUUCUGCUCAGUACAACAUUUAAAAUAAAGUUUAUGCACUG
Long non-coding RNA from Dama dama (fallow deer), 3120 nucleotides. RefSeq lists it as uncharacterized. Lineage: Eukaryota; Metazoa; Chordata; Mammalia; Artiodactyla; Cervidae. The record is from RefSeq and is a predicted model, not a curated record. The transcript has 4 exons.